This 65-nucleotide transfer RNA is filed under the name Eucoleus annulatus. Its description in RNAcentral is "tRNA-Ser". The record is from RNAcentral. Lineage: Eukaryota; Metazoa; Nematoda; Enoplea; Trichinellida; Capillariidae.
UAAAAUUUCAAGUAAAGAAAAGAUAAAUUAAGCUUCUAACUUAAAUACUGGUUCAACCACUUUUC